RNAcentral lists this ribosomal RNA (253 nucleotides) under uncultured bacterium. Its description in RNAcentral is "partial 16S ribosomal RNA". It matches the Rfam family "Bacterial small subunit ribosomal RNA", at positions 524 to 776 of the family's 1533-position model. The record is from RNAcentral.
UACGUAGGGUCCGAGCGUUGUCCGGAGUUAUUGGGCGUAAAGGGCUCGUAGGCGGUUUGUUGCGUCGGAAGUGAAAUCUUACAGCUUAACUGUGAACUUGCUUUCGAUACGGGCAGACUUGAGGCAUUCAGGGGAGAACGGAAUUCCUGGUGUAGCGGUGAAAUGCGCAGAUAUCAGGAGGAACACCGGUGGCGAAGGCGGUUCUCUGGGAAUGUACUGACGCUGAGGAGCGAAAGUGUGGGGAGCGAACAGG